GUASGUGGCAAGCGUUGUCCGGAUUUACUGGGCGUAAAGAGCGCGCAGGCGGUCGUUCAAGUCGCGUGUGAAAGCCCCCAGCUCAACUGGGGAGGGUCACGCGAUACUGAUCGACUCGAAGGCAGGAGAGGGUAGUGGAAUUCCCGGUGUAGUGGUGAAAUGCGUAGAUAUCGGGAGGAACACCAGUGGCGAAGGCGACUACCUGGCCUGUUCUUGACGCUGAGGCGCGAAAGCUAGGGGAGCAAACGGGAUUAGAUACCCCGGUAGUCCUAGCCGUAAACGAUGGACACUAGGUGUUGGUGGUAUCAACCCCGCCAGUGCCGAAGCUAACGCAUUAAGUGUCCCGCCUGGGGAGUACGGCCGCAAGGCUA
Molecule: ribosomal RNA, 371 nt
Filed under: uncultured bacterium
Lineage: Bacteria
Description: bacterial SSU rRNA
Rfam family: Bacterial small subunit ribosomal RNA
Source: RNAcentral